Non-coding RNA from Odocoileus virginianus texanus, 119 nucleotides. The record is from RefSeq and is a predicted model, not a curated record. Lineage: Eukaryota; Metazoa; Chordata; Mammalia; Artiodactyla; Cervidae.
CAAAAACCCCAGCCCUCUGAAGGCUCUGAUGUCCACUCCAGACUUCUCCAGGGCCACUUAUUCCAAUCUACUCUCCAAGCUGCAGCUGGAAUGGAAACCCGAUCCUGUUGAGAAGUGAA